UACGUAGGGUGCGAGCGUUGUCCGGAAUUAUUGGGCGUAAAGGGCUCGUAGGCGGUUUGUCACGUCGGGAGUGAAAACUCGGGGCUCAACCCCGAGCCUGCUUCCGAUACGGGCAGACUAGAGGUAUGCAGGGGAGGAUGGAAUUCCUGGUGUAGCGGUGAAAUGCGCAGAUAUCAGGAGGAACACCGGUGGCGAAGGCGGCUCUCUGGGCAUUACCUGACGCUGAGGAGCGAAAGUGUGGGGAGCGAACAGG
RNAcentral lists this ribosomal RNA (253 nucleotides) under uncultured bacterium. Its description in RNAcentral is "partial 16S ribosomal RNA". It matches the Rfam family "Bacterial small subunit ribosomal RNA", at positions 524 to 776 of the family's 1533-position model. The record is from RNAcentral.